Molecule: long non-coding RNA, 554 nt
Organism: Poeciliopsis prolifica (blackstripe livebearer)
Lineage: Eukaryota; Metazoa; Chordata; Actinopteri; Cyprinodontiformes; Poeciliidae
Exons: 3
Source: RefSeq, a predicted model, not a curated record
GUUCAGGAAGUCUCUCCACAGAUAAACUGUCUCCUGCUCAGUGGUCAGCUCUGGGUUUCAUCUUAGUGUCAUCAGGAAAAGAUCUGGAUGUGUUUGACCUGAAGAAAUACUCUGCUUCAGAGGAGGUUCUUCUGAGGCUGCUGCCAGUGGUUAAAGCCUCCAACAAAGCUCUACUGAGUGUCUGUAACCUCUCAGAGAGAAGCUGUGAAGCUCUGUCCUCAGUUCUCAGCUCCCAGUCCUCCAGUCUCAGAGAACUGGACCUGAGUAACAACAACCUGCAGGAUUCAGGAGUGAAGCUUCUCUCUGCUGGACUGAAGAGUCCAAACUGCAACCUGGAAACUCUCAGCUUAUCAGGCUGUUUGGUCUCAGAGGAAGGCUGUGCUUCUCUGGCCUCAGCUCUGACCUCCAACCCCUCCCAUCUGAAAGAGUUGGACCUGAGCUACAAUCAUCCAGGAGACUCAGGAGUGAAGCUGCUGUCGGCUGGACUGAAGGAUCCACACUGGAGACUGGAAGCUCUCAGGUAUGGAGGAACCUGCUGCAGGAGCAGAGAAGGU